GAUGAAGAACGCAGCGAAAUGCGAUGAGUAAUGUGAAUUGCAGAAUUCAGUGAAUCAUCGAAUCUUUGAACGCACAUUGCGCCCGGCAGUACUCUGCCGGGCAUGCCUGUUCGAGCGUCAUUUCAACCCUCAAGCCCUGCUUGGUGUUGGGGUCCCACGGCCGCCGUGGGCCCUGAAAGGAAGUGGCGGGCUCGCUACAACUCCGAGCGUAGUAAUUCAUUAUCUCGCUUAGGGCGUUGGGCGGCGCUCCUGCCGUUAAAGAACCAUCUUUAACUCAAGGUUGACCUCGGAUCAGGUAGGAAUACCCGCUGAACUUAAGCAUAUCAAUAAGCGGAGGA
RNAcentral lists this unclassified non-coding RNA (338 nucleotides) under soil metagenome. Its description in RNAcentral is "partial contains 5.8S ribosomal RNA, internal transcribed spacer 2, and large subunit ribosomal RNA". The stretch from base 1 to 120 matches the Rfam family "5.8S ribosomal RNA", at positions 35 to 154 of the family's 154-position model. The record is from RNAcentral.